GGGUUGUGAGGUUAAGCGACUAAGCGUACACGGUGGAUGCCCUGGCAGUCAGAGGCGAUGAAGGACGUGCUAAUCUGCGAAAAGCGUCGGUAAGGUGAUAUGAACCGUUACAGCCGGCGAUGUCCGAAUGGGGAAACCCAGUGCAAUUCGUUGCACUAUCGUUAACUGAAUACAUAGGUUAACGAGGCGAACCGGGGGAACUGAAACAUCUAAGUACCCCGAGGAAAAGAAAUCAACCGAGAUUCCCCCAGUAGCGGCGAGCGAACGGGGAGCAGCCCAGAGUCUGAAUCAGCUUGUGUGUUAGUGGAACGGUCUGGAAAGUCCGACGGUACAGGGUGAUAGUCCCGUACACCAAAAUGCACAGGCUGUGAACUCGAAGAGUAGGGCGGGACACGUGGUAUCCUGUCUGAAUAUGGGGGGACCAUCCUCCAAGGCUAAAUACUCCUGACUGACCGAUAGUGAACCAGUACCGUGAGGGAAAGGCGAAAAGAACCCCGGCGAGGGGAGUGAAAAAGAACCUGAAACCGUGUACGUACAAGCAGUGGGAGCACCUUCGGGUGUGACUGCGUACCUUUUGUAUAAUGGGUCAGCGACUUAUAUUCUGUAGCAAGGUUAACCGUAUAGGGGGAGCCGCAGGGGAAACCGAGUCUUAACUGGGCGUUAAGUUGCAGGGUAUAGACCCGAAACCCGGUGAUCUAGCCAUGGGCAGGUUGAAGGUUGGGUAACACUAACUGGAGGACCGAACCGACUAAUGUUGAAAAAAUUAGCGGAUGACUUGUGGCUGGGGGUGAAAGGCCAAUCAAACCGGGAGAUAGCUGGUUCUCCCCGAAAGCUAUUUAGGUAGCGCCUCGUGAACUCAUCUUCGGGGGUAGAGCACUGUUUCGGCUAGGGGGUCAUCCCGACUUACCAACCCGAUGCAAACUACGAAUACCGAAGAAUGUUAUCACGGGAGACACACGGCGGGUGCUAACGUCCGUCGUGAAGAGGGAAACAACCCAGACCGCCAGCUAAGGUCCCAAAGUCAUGGUUAAGUGGGAAACGAUGUGGGAAGGCACAGACAGCCAGGAUGUUGGCUUAGAAGCAGCCAUCAUUUAAAGAAAGCGUAAUAGCUCACUGGUCGAGUCGGCCUGCGCGGAAGAUGUAACGGGGCUAAACCAUGCACCGAAGCUGCGGCAGCGACACUAUGUGUUGUUGGGUAGGGGGAGCGUUCUGUAAGCCUGCGAAGGUGUGCUGUGAGGCAUGCUGGAGGUAUCAGAAGUGCGAAUGCUGACAUAAGUAACGAUAAAGCGGGUGAAAAGCCCGCUCGCCGGAAGACCAAGGGUUCCUGUCCAACGUUAAUCGGGGCAGGGUGAGUCGACCCCUAAGGCGAGGCCGAAAGGCGUAGUCGAUGGGAAACAGGUUAAUAUUCCUGUACUUGGUGUUACUGCGAAGGGGGGACGGAGAAGGCUAUGUUAGCCGGGCGACGGUUGUCCCGGUUUAAGCAUGUAGGCUGAUUGUCCAGGCAAAUCCGGAUAAUCAAGGCUGAGGUGUGAUGACGAGGCACUACGGUGCUGAAGUAACAAAUGCCCUGCUUCCAGGAAAAGCCUCUAAGCAUCAGGUAACAUUAAAUCGUACCCCAAACCGACACAGGUGGUCAGGUAGAGAAUACCAAGGCGCUUGAGAGAACUCGGGUGAAGGAACUAGGCAAAAUGGUGCCGUAACUUCGGGAGAAGGCACGCUGGUGUGUAGGUGAAGUCCCUGCGGAUGGAGCUGAGACCAGUCGAAGAUACCAGCUGGCUGCAACUGUUUAUUAAAAACACAGCACUGUGCAAACACGAAAGUGGACGUAUACGGUGUGACGCCUGCCCGGUGCCGGAAGGUUAAUUGAUGGGGUUAUCCGUAAGGAGAAGCUCUUGAUCGAAGCCCCGGUAAACGGCGGCCGUAACUAUAACGGUCCUAAGGUAGCGAAAUUCCUUGUCGGGUAAGUUCCGACCUGCACGAAUGGCGUAAUGAUGGCCAGGCUGUCUCCACCCGAGACUCAGUGAAAUUGAACUCGCUGUGAAGAUGCAGUGUACCCGCGGCAAGACGGAAAGACCCCGUGAACCUUUACUAUAGCUUGACACUGAACAUUGAGCCUUGAUGUGUAGGAUAGGUGGGAGGCUUUGAAGCGUGGACGCCAGUCUGCGUGGAGCCAACCUUGAAAUACCACCCUUUAAUGUUUGAUGUUCUAACGUUGGCCCCUGACCGGGGUUGCGGACAGUGUCUGGUGGGUAGUUUGACUGGGGCGGUCUCCUCCCAAAGCGUAACGGAGGAGCACGAAGGUUAGCUAAUCCUGGUCGGACAUCAGGAGGUUAGUGCAAUGGCAUAAGCUAGCUUGACUGCGAGCGUGACGGCGCGAGCAGGUGCGAAAGCAGGUCAUAGUGAUCCGGUGGUUCUGAAUGGAAGGGCCAUCGCUCAACGGAUAAAAGGUACUCCGGGGAUAACAGGCUGAUACCGCCCAAGAGUUCAUAUCGACGGCGGUGUUUGGCACCUCGAUGUCGGCUCAUCACAUCCUGGGGCUGAAGUAGGUCCCAAGGGUAUGGCUGUUCGCCAUUUAAAGUGGUACGCGAGCUGGGUUUAGAACGUCGUGAGACAGUUCGGUCCCUAUCUGCCGUGGGCGCUGGAGAAUUGAGGGGGGCUGCUCCUAGUACGAGAGGACCGGAGUGGACGCAUCACUGGUGUUCGGGUUGUCAUGCCAAUGGCACUGCCCGGUAGCUAAAUGCGGAAGAGAUAAGUGCUGAAAGCAUCUAAGCACGAAACUUGCCCCGAGAUGAGUUCUCCCUGAGACUUUAAGUCUCCUGAAGGAACGUUGAAGACGACGACGUUGAUAGGCCGGGUGUGUAAGCGCAGCGAUGCGUUGAGCUAACCGGUACUAAUGAACCGUGAGGCUUAACCUUACAACGCCGAAG
Molecule: ribosomal RNA, 2927 nt
Filed under: Klebsiella pneumoniae
Lineage: Bacteria; Pseudomonadati; Pseudomonadota; Gammaproteobacteria; Enterobacterales; Enterobacteriaceae
Description: 23S ribosomal RNA
Rfam family: Bacterial large subunit ribosomal RNA
Source: RNAcentral